Molecule: ribosomal RNA, 253 nt
Filed under: uncultured bacterium
Lineage: Bacteria
Description: partial 16S ribosomal RNA
Rfam family: Bacterial small subunit ribosomal RNA
Source: RNAcentral
UACGGAGGGUGCAAGCGUUAAUCGGAAUUACUGGGCGUAAAGCGCACGCAGGUAGCUGAGUCAGUCGAUUGUGAAAGCCCUGGGCUUAACCUGGGAAUUGCAGUCGAUACUACUCAGCUAGAGUAUGGGAGAGGGCAGUGGAAUUCCCGGUGUAGCGGUGAAAUGCGUAGAUAUCAGGAGGAACACCAAUGGCGAAGGCGGCGAUCUGGACGAUGACUGACGCUGAGACGCGAAAGCGUGGGGAGCAAACAGG